CCAAGAUCCGAACCCACAAACCCAGACCACUACAGCAGAGCAUGCAGGACUUUAACCACUUGGUGACGAAGCCAGGCCGAAUUUUUUGUUUUUUUUUUUUUACUUUACGACUAUGCAUAGACCACAGGCUGAUAAAUUUCUCCUUCAUUCUCUUUGAAUGGGGCAAUUCCCACUCAGCUGGCUAUUUUCCCCAGAAUAGUAUAGGAGGAAUAUUUUUGACUGUCUUCCUUAUUAACUCAAAAAGUCCCUUCAGCCUCCUCCCUUAGGAAUUGAGUGAAAAGUUGGAUGUUGGAUGAAGAAUUUAUCUGAGAGGAAAUUUCUGGGGCUUGGGGAAUAUUCGACUGUGGAAUUCUGUUUCUGAGUUUCUCCGUGAACGCAGGAACAUCUUCAUUGUUUUUUAGUGUAUGCUUUAUGCUUUCAAGUUUGGGGAAUGUCCACGUCUUGGAUUUCAGCACAUAGUCACUUGUCAGUUGCCCACUUUGGUGAGAAGAUGAGUAGCAAUGAAUCAUCUCCUUCUUCUUUUUGGUGGAUAGCUGUAUAAUUUCUCCUGAAUUGGGCCUAUUGCUGAAAAGUCAGCUCACGUCCGUAUAUCAUCUCUCCUGUUUGGAAGCUGGACCAGAGAAGACAAUGGUUUUGUCUGGGUGGCCAAAGGAACCAAGAGGAUUAUCUGUACUCUGAAGUCACACUUUUCCCAAAUAUCCCAUGGUAAGGACUUAUUCUGCAGUUACCUCCACUGUCUGCCGGCUUGCCUGUAAAAAGGAGGAGAAAUUGCAGAAAAGCAUGAACAGGCUGGAGGCAGCAGAGAGGAGUAGAAAUAACAGGGGCCUGAACAACGGAAGUUUUGGGUUCUCAGUCUGAUGAUAUGCUCACUGUCACCCCAAACUACCACAUCUUCGAGUCGUUGCUCCAUGUAGAGUGCUCCUCUCCCUGAAAGCGUAGACGAGAGACAUGGAGUAAAGUGUGGGCUCUGGAGCCACUGCCAGGACUGGAAGCCUCGUUCUACCCCUUUCUAGCUGUGUGAUCAUGGGAACAUUAGAAAACCGCUCCUUGCUCCUAUUCCCUAACCUGUAAAAGAUAACCAUAAUUAAACAUACCUUCCUGGUACGUUGUGAGGACUUAAUGCACAAAUUCAUAUAAAGUUCUUUGAAGAGUACCUGCAUUAUGACAAUGCUCAAAAAUGUUAGCAUUUAUUAUAAUUAGACCCCUCCUCCAUUCCAAAAUGCCCCUCAUUGCACGCUUAGCGAGCUCCUACUAAUCCUUCAAGUUUCUGCUUAAAUGUUUCCUCCUCUAAGAAGCCUUCCACAGCCAUCCCUUCCUCUCCCUAAACAGGGUUGAUACUUCCCCUUCUCUGAGGCUGUGCUAGGCACUGUUAAUACAGAGUUGCCUAAGAGUUAGCCACUGUCCCCACAUUGCACACAGUCUAGGAAGACAUGACAAGCUCUGUAAUAAGGUAGCACUCAGCACCAAGGAGGUUUCCUGCUCAGAGGUCGGUCAUUUCUCAAACUGUAUAAAACCCAAGGGCAACCUCUGAGACUGUAUUAGCUGUGUCUAGUUUUUCCUCUCUUUUCUUUUUCUCCACUUUGGUUCAUUCCCCAAACUUUCAUUUUACUUUCCAGUCUCCCUUCCUUUUUUCUCUUACCCUUCUUUCCUGUCUCUUGGGUUUUAUUCUCUCCUUUUCUCUCACUGGAUCUGCACUGCUUGUGGAAGAAGGAGAGCGCCUGGGGCAGUCUUCCUAGAAGAGAUAGUACACAAACUGAUCCUCAAGGCAGAGGGAGAUUUAGAUAAGGAACCGAGGAGUAAGGGGCACAGAUGGAGCAGGAAGGAACAGGCAGAAGGAACAUCAAAUGUGAGGUGUCUGAGAAGAAGGCAUGAAGGAAAGCACGUGCAACGAUGGUAUUUACUGAAAAAUGCAUGAAUUUCAGGCAACUCUGGGAUGUCCCAAGGUGAAGUGGGAUUGAUGAGAGAGGGGGUAAUUCGGGCAUUCCACAAUACGAUUGGAUUGUAUUCUCUAUGGGAUGGGUUCUAAAUUGAGAUUCUAAGGAAGAAGUUGACAUGAUUCUCUUUUCACGUUAGAAAGAUCACUGUGUGUAGGAUGGAUUGAAGGAGACUAGCUUGAUUCAGGCCAUGAAGUUAUGCUACUGAAACCAUCUGAGCAAGAGGUGCUGAUACGUCGAGGAUGUUGGCAAGAUGGUGCAGUGGUUAAGCAUGUGGUCAACUCCUUACCAUAAAGAAACAAAGAAUCAGAGAUCUGCACAAUAGUUUACCAUCUGAGUUCAUAGGUCCUGCAAACGGCUGGUGCAGGAAAAAGUCAACUGCUUAAGAUAAAUCAUCAAAAAGGUACCUUAUAGCAUAAGCACUAUAUGGAAACUAGAAGAAAGGAACAAACAACAACAACAAAAGAAUGGAACAGAGAAAACACAUGGCAUAUAAGGAACACUCAUCAGAAAAACAUAGCUACAGAGAAAAUGAAAAUCGUGAUCAAACAUUGCAUUGUAAUGUGGUGGUACUGUAGAUUGGCUAAUUCAAUGUCCACUCCACUCUCUUCCAGCCUUUCUAGCUGGCUGAGAAACACAAAGUAUCAUUUCUCAGACUCCUCUGUAGCUAGAGUUCUGCCUAUGACAAAGAUCCACUAAGCAAAAUCACCCACCUGUGAUUUCUAGAAGGAAGGAAAUAAUGGGAUCCACAUACGGAGAAGCUGAUCUUGUGUCAAGCACAGGGAGUGAGGCUGUGGUUCUGUGACGCUGGGGCAGUUUCUAGUGUAUGGUCCCCAGUGUCUUAGGCACUGAGCAAGGGAGAUAGCAGCAAUCGGUUCCUGCUAGAACAUUGCCAGAGUGUGGUUGGGCACUCUCCUGGUUGUGCAGUACCCAAGCCUGGUUCCCUAGCUCUCCAGGAGAUUUCAUGAGCUACCAGAUAUCCCUUAAUAAACUCCUUUGGCUUUAACCAUCUAGUGUAAGUUCUGUUUCCUGCAAGUAAACACACUGAGCCAUAGUCAUAGAUUUAAAAAAGAGAAAGCCUAACGAAACAAUUGCCGCUGUUUAACAAAUGCACAAAGCAAAAUACACAAAAGUGAGGAAUAGAUAAUGAUAAAACAGAAAGACAUAAAACAUGAGCUGCAAAGAUCAAGAAAGGGAAAACAUAAAUGAAGGUCAAAUUUGAUAUAAAUGCUAUCAAGUCAUAUAUACAUAGCGCAUUUUAGUUUUCCAUUCAUCUGUCAGUGGACACUUAGGUUGUCUCCAGGUCUUGGCUAUUAUGAAUAAUGCUGCAAUGAAAAUGGGGGCGCAGAUAAUCUCUUUGAGAUAGUUAUUUCUUUCAGAUAUAUACCCAGAAGUGGCGAUUGCUGGAUCAUAUGGUACUUCUACUUUUAAUUUUUUGAGGAACCUCUGUACUCCAUAAUGGCUGCACCAAUUUACAUUCCCAUCAACAAUGCACAAGUGUUGCCUUCUCCCCACAGCCUCGCGUACACUUGUUGCCUCUUUGUGAUAAUUGUUAUUCUAACAGGUGUGGGGUGAUAGCUCAUUGUGGUUUGGAUUUGCAUUUCCACUAAUGAUAACAUUAGUGAUCUUGAGAAUCUUUUCACGAACCUGUUGGCUAUUUGUACAUCUUCUUUGGAAAAUGUCUAUUCAAAUCCUUUCCCCAUUUUUAAAUUAGAUUGUUUGGUUUUGUUGCUAUGGAGUUGUAUGAAAUCCUUAUAUAUUUUAAAUACUAACCCUUUAUCAGAUAGAUGGUUUGCAAAUAUUUUUUCCCAUUCCACAGAUUGCCUUUUCAUUUUUUUAUUGUGUCUUUUGCUGUUCAGAGGGAUUUUGUUUUGUUUUUUGGGGGGGGAAGAUUAGCCCUGAGCUAACAUCUGCUGCCAAUCCUCCUCUUUUUGCUGAGGAAGACUGGCCUUGAGCUAACAUCCGUGACCAUCUUUCUCUACUUUAUAUGUGGGACGCCUACCACAGGAUGGCUGGCCAAGAGGUGCCAUGUCUGCACCCAGGAUCCUAACCAGCAAACCCUGGGCCAACAAAGCAGAGCAUGCGCACUCAACAGCUGCACCACCAGGCUGGCCCCUGUUCAGAAGGUUUUUAAUUUGAUGUAGUCCCGUUUAUUUAUUUUUGCUCUUGUUGCUUGUACUUUUGGUACCAUAUCCAAAAAAAUCAUUGCCGAGAUGAAUGUCAAGGAGCUUUUUUCCUAUGUUUUUUUCUAGGAUGUUUACAGUUUCCGGUCUUAUGUUUAGUCUUUAAUACAUUUCGAGUUACUUUUUGUGAGUGGUGUAAGAUAGGGGCCCAAUUUCGUUCUUUUGCAUGCGAUUAUCCAGUUUUCCCAAUACCAUUUAUUGAAGAUACUAUCCUUUCCCCAUUGAGUCCCUUGACUCCUUUGUCAAAUAUUAGCUGACUGUAUAUGCAAGGGUUACUUUCUGUGUUCUCUAUUCCAUUCCAUUGGUGCACGUAUCUGGUUUUAUGCCUGUACCAUACUGCUUUGAUUCCCAUAGCUUUGUAAUACAGUUCGAGAACAGGAAGCGUGACUCCUCCACCUUUGUUCUUUCUCAAGAUUCCUCCUUGCUCAAGAUUGCUUUGGCUUUUCACGUUUUUUUGUGGUUCCAUACAAAUCUUAGGAUUGUGUUUUCUAUUUCUGGGAAAAUGUCAUUGUAAUUUUGAUAGGGAUGGAAUUGAAUUUAUAGAUGGUUUUGGGUAGUUG
Molecule: long non-coding RNA, 4677 nt
Organism: Equus asinus (donkey)
Lineage: Eukaryota; Metazoa; Chordata; Mammalia; Perissodactyla; Equidae
Source: Ensembl